RNAcentral lists this ribosomal RNA (1309 nucleotides) under Phymateus morbillosus. Its description in RNAcentral is "16S ribosomal RNA". The stretch from base 877 to 1243 matches the Rfam family "Bacterial large subunit ribosomal RNA", at positions 2072 to 2648 of the family's 2925-position model. Lineage: Eukaryota; Metazoa; Arthropoda; Insecta; Orthoptera; Pyrgomorphidae. The record is from RNAcentral.
UUUUAAUUUUAUUAUUUGAAAUUAAUUUGUUGUAAUCUUUAUUUAAUAGAAGUAACUUUAUGUUAAUAUUGUCUAAGUAUUGUAGAGAGAAUUGAUUUUUAUUAAUUAUAGUGAAUAGGUAAAGUAAUUGAAUUGUUGAUUUUUAAAAUUUUUUAAGUACUCUUGUUUUGGGGUACCUUUUGUAUCAGGGUUAAUAAAAAUUUUUGUUUUGAUUUUACUUAUCUCGAUUUAGGUUGAUUUAUGAUUUAAUUAUUUUUUAUUGUAUUAUAAAUAUUUAUAAUUUGAUUAUAGAAAUGAAAUGUUAUUCGUUUCCUAAGGUAUCUAGUUUUUCAAGAAAAAAUUUAAUUUUUUAUGGUUUAUUGGUUUAUUACAAAUUUUUGUUUAUUAAUUAUUUUCCUAUUAAUUCUUUAGGGGAUAAGCUCUUGAGUUUUAUAGUUCUAUAAUAUUGAAUUUUAUACUUAAUAGUAGGCUUUUAACCGGUCAUCUUUUUGAUUACGUUUUAGUUCAUUUUAUUUAGUUUUGAUUUUAUAAUAUUUUAGAUGUUUUAUUGAAAUAUUUAAAUUAAUUUUUAAUUUGUUGAAAUAAUGAUUGAAUUAGUAUAUUCUUUUGUAUAUUUUAUUUAGAUUUAAAUUUUAUUUUAAGGAAUUAGGCAAAAAUUUUCUUCGCCUGUUUAUCAAAAACAUGUCUUUUUGAUUAUAAUUUAAGGUCUUGCCUGCUCACUGAUUAAUUUUUAAAGAGCCGCGGUAUUUUGACCGUGCAAAGGUAGCAUAAUCAUUAGUCCCUUAAUUAGGGGCUGGAAUGAAUGGUUUAACGAGAGAAAGACUGUCUCAAAAUAAUUGAUAAAAUUUAACUUUUAAGUUAAAAGGCUUAAAUUUCACUUUAGGACGAGAAGACCCUAUAGAACUUUAUAUAAAAUUUAUUAUCAUUUUGUUGCUAAUUUGUUAUGUUUAUAGUUUAAUAUAUUUUGUUGGGGUGAUGUAAAGAAUAGUUAAACUCUUUAUUUAAGAUGUCAUUAAUUUAUGAAAGAUUGAUCCAUAUUUUGUGAUUAAAAGAUUAAGUUACCUUAGGGAUAACAGCGUAAUUAUUUUUUAGAGUUCAUAUCAACAAAGUAGAUUGCGACCUCGAUGUUGGAUUAAGUUUAGUCCUGGGUGUAUCAGCUUAGGAACUAGGUCUGUUCGACCUUUAAAUUCUUACAUGAUCUGAGUUCAAACCGGCGUGAGCCAGGUUGGUUUCUAUCCUGAGUUUUUAUUCUAUAUUAGUACGAAAGGACCAUAUAGUUGAAAUAUUUUUUAUUUAUUGAAAUUAAUUU